This 190-nucleotide non-coding RNA is filed under the name Virgibacillus dakarensis. RNAcentral's name for it is "6S RNA". It matches the Rfam family "6S / SsrS RNA". From Rfam's summary of the family: E. coli 6S RNA was the first non coding RNA to be sequenced, but its function was unknown until recently. Lineage: Bacteria; Bacillati; Bacillota; Bacilli; Caryophanales; Bacillaceae. The record is from RNAcentral.
ACAAUCCUGAUGUGUACGUUUAGUAUAUUCGUUUUGACCGAACAUUAUAUACUUGGGAGCUUGAAAUGUUUCUAUGUUGCGUGCAUGCCUCUACUUACUUUUACCGAGGACGUACAAAGUUUAGAACAGGGCACCCACCUGCCAGGAGCGGGAUCAAAACUGGAAAUUAAACGGCACAAUUGGGAUUGUA